GGGUUCUGAGAGGAUGAUCCCCCACACUGGUACUGAGACACGGACCAGACUCCUACGGGAGGCAGCAGUAGGGAAUAUUGGUCAAUGGGCGAGAGCCUGAACCAGCCAUGCCGCGUGCAGGAAGACGGCCUUCUGGGUUGUAAACUGCUUUUCUACGGGAAGAAAAAGCUUAUGCGUAAGCAAUUGACGGUACUGUAGGAAUAAGCACCGGCUAACUCCGUGCCAGCAGCCGCGGUAAUACGGAGGGUGCGAGCGUUGUCCGGAUUUAUUGGGUUUAAAGGGUGCGUAGGCGGCUUAUUAAGUCAGUGGUGAAAUCUUUCGGCUUAACCGAGAAACUGCCAUUGAAACUGAUGAGCUUGAGUUUGAGUGAGGUAGGCGGAAUUUAUGGUGUAGCGGUGAAAUGCAUAGAUACCAUAAAGAACACCGAUAGCGUAGGCAGCUUACUGGCUCGCAACUGACGCUGAGGCACGAAAGCAUGGGUAUCGAACAGGAUUA
Molecule: ribosomal RNA, 495 nt
Filed under: uncultured bacterium
Lineage: Bacteria
Description: bacterial SSU rRNA
Rfam family: Bacterial small subunit ribosomal RNA
Source: RNAcentral